RNAcentral lists this non-coding RNA (52 nucleotides) under unclassified sequences. The record is from RNAcentral.
UAAAUAAUGUCGCCAAUGGAGGUAUCAAGCCCUCAUAAAGACAGAGAUAAAA